This 440-nucleotide ribosomal RNA is filed under the name uncultured bacterium. RNAcentral's name for it is "partial 16S ribosomal RNA". It matches the Rfam family "Bacterial small subunit ribosomal RNA", at positions 338 to 795 of the family's 1533-position model. The record is from RNAcentral.
CCUACGGGAGGCUGCAGUGGGGGAUAUUGCACAAUGGGGGGAACCCUGAUGCAGCGACGCCGCGUGGGUGAAGAAGCGCCUCGGCGCGUAAAGCCCUGUCAGCAGGGAAGAAAAUGACGGUACCUGAAGAAGAAGCCCCGGCUAACUACGUGCCAGCAGCCGCGGUAAUACGUAGGGGGCAAGCGUUAUCCGGAUUUACGGGGGGGAAAGGGGGCGCAGACGGCGAUGCAAGCCAGGAGUGAAAGCCCGGGGCCCAACCCCGGGACUGCUCUUGGAACUGCGUGGCUGGAGUGCAGGAGGGGCAGGCGGAAUUCCUGGUGUAGCGGUGAAAUGCGUAGAUAUCAGGAGGAACACCGGUGGCGAAGGCGGCCUGCUGGACUGCAACUGACGUUGAGGCCCGAAAGCGUGGGGAGCAAACAGGAUUAGAUACCCCAGUAGUC